RNAcentral lists this ribosomal RNA (500 nucleotides) under uncultured bacterium. Its description in RNAcentral is "partial 16S ribosomal RNA". It matches the Rfam family "Bacterial small subunit ribosomal RNA", at positions 30 to 523 of the family's 1533-position model. The record is from RNAcentral.
AUUGAACGCUGGCGGAAUGCUUUACACAUGCAAGUCGAACGGCAGCACGGACUUCGGUCUGGUGGCGAGUGGCGAACGGGUGAGUAAUGUAUCGGAACGUGCCCAGUCGUGGGGGAUAACGUAGUGAAAAUUACGCUAAUACCGCAUACGAUCUAUGGAUGAAAGCGGGGGAUCGCAAGACCUCGCGCGAUUGGAGCGGCCGAUAUCAGAUUAGGUAGUUGGUGGGGUAAAGGCCCACCAAGCCAACGAUCUGUAGCUGGUCUGAGAGGACGAACAGCCACACUGGAACUGAGACACGGUCCAGACUCCUACGGGAGGCAGCAGUGGGGAAUUUUGGACAAUGGGCGAAAGCCUGAUCCAGCCAUUCCGCGUGCAGGAUGAAGGCCCUCGGGUUGUAAACUGCUUUUGUACAGAACGAAAAGGUUUCUACUAAUACUAGGAGCUCAUGACGGUACUGUAAGAAUAAGCACCGGCUAUCUACGUGCCAGCCGCCGCGGUAA